Molecule: ribosomal RNA, 468 nt
Filed under: uncultured bacterium
Lineage: Bacteria
Description: partial 16S ribosomal RNA
Rfam family: Bacterial small subunit ribosomal RNA
Source: RNAcentral
GACGAAAGCUGGCGGCGUGCUUAACACAUGCAAGUCGAACGGAAAGGCCCUGCUUUUGUGGGGUGCUCGAGUGGCGAACGGGUGAGUAACACGUGAGUAACCUGCCCUUGACUUUGGGAUAACUUCAGGAAACGGGGGCUAAUACCGGAGAGGAGCGCCGGCGGCAGGGGGGGGGGGGGAAAGGUGCGGCGGGGGGGGAUGGACGCGCGGCUUAUCAGCUGGUUGGUGGGGUAGUGGCUUACCAAGGCUUUGACGGGUAGCCGGCCUGAGAGGGUGACCGGCCACAUUGGGACUGAGAUACGGCACCGCCUCCUCCGUGCGGCCGCGGUCGGGCCUCUUGCGCCCUGGGCGGGCGCCUGCUGCCGCACCGCCGCGUGCGGGAUGCCGGCCUUCGGGUUGUACCCCGCUUUCGCCUUUGCCGCCGCGUGCGUGCCGGUCCUGGGUCCCGCCGCCCCGGCUCCCUCCGUG